GACGAACGCUGGCGGCGUGCUUAACACAUGCAAGUCGAACGGAAAGGCCCUGCUUUUGUGGGUUGCUCGAGUGGCGAACGGGUGAGUAACACGUGAGUAACCUGCCCUUGACUUUGGGAUAACUUCAGGAAACUGGGGCUAAUACCGGAUAGGAGCUCCUGCUGCAUGGUGGGGGUUGGAAAGUUUCGGCGGUUGGGGAUGGACUCGCGGCUUAUCAGCUUGUUGGUGGGGUAGUGGCUUACCAAGGCUUUGACGGGUAGCCGGCCUGAGAGGGUGACCGGCCACAUUGGGACUGAGAUACGGCGCAGACUCCUACGGGAGGCAGCAGUGGGGAAUAUUGCACAAUGGGCGGAAGCCUGAUGCAGCAACGCCGCGUGCGGGAUGACGGCCUUCGGGUUGUAAACCGCUUUCGCCUGUGACGAAGCGUGAGUGACGGUAAUGGGUAAAGAAGCACCGGCUAAAUACGUG
This 468-nucleotide ribosomal RNA is filed under the name uncultured bacterium. Its description in RNAcentral is "partial 16S ribosomal RNA". It matches the Rfam family "Bacterial small subunit ribosomal RNA", at positions 28 to 507 of the family's 1533-position model. The record is from RNAcentral.